UUUUUUUGAGAAUUUGAUCCUGGUUCAGGAUGAACGCUGGCGGUGUGCUUUAGGUAUGCAAGUCGAUCGGUCUGUAAGACCGAACAGUUAACAAUUCAACAGUUAACCAAUUAACAAAUUUACCAAUUAACUACAAAGUUAAAAGUCAAUAUUGUUAAUUUGUCAAUUUGUUGCAUUCGUUGAAGGUUCUGUCUUACAGACAGAGGCGGACGGGUGAGUAAUGUACAAGAAUCUACCCUCGACCGGAAAAUAACCUGUCGAAAGACGGGCUAAUGUUCCAUGAAGACUCCGGUUUAAAGCGAUUAACUUCGCGGUUGAGGAGGAGCUUGUAUCCUAUCAGCUAGUUGGUAAGGUAAUGGCUUACCAAGGCGAUGACGGGUAGCUGGACUGAGAGGUCGGUCAGCCACAACUGCACUGAGACACGGGCAGUACACCUACGGGUGGCAGCAACUAGGAAU
This 458-nucleotide ribosomal RNA is filed under the name Candidatus Levybacteria bacterium RIFCSPLOWO2_02_FULL_41_11. RNAcentral's name for it is "bacterial SSU rRNA". It matches the Rfam family "Bacterial small subunit ribosomal RNA", at positions 1 to 362 of the family's 1533-position model. Lineage: Bacteria; Candidatus Levyibacteriota. The record is from RNAcentral.